RNAcentral lists this ribosomal RNA (483 nucleotides) under uncultured bacterium. RNAcentral's name for it is "partial 16S ribosomal RNA". It matches the Rfam family "Bacterial small subunit ribosomal RNA", at positions 29 to 523 of the family's 1533-position model. The record is from RNAcentral.
AGUGAACGCUGGCGGCGUGCUUAACACAUGCAAGUCGAACGAGAAACGGAUUUAGCUUGCUAAAUUGCAGUCUAAGUGGCGCACGGGUGAGUAAUGUAUAGGUAAUAUGCCUCUUACUAAGGGAUAACAAUUGGAAACGAUUGCUAAUACCUUAUAUGCCUUUAAUACGAAAGUAUGCAAGGGAAAGAUUUAUUGGUAAGAGAUUAGCCUGUAUGGUAUCAGCUUGUUGGUGAGGUAAUGUCUCACCAAGGCUAUGACGCCUAACUGGUUUGAGAGGAUGAUCAGUCACACUGGAACUGAGACACGGACCAGACUCCUACGGGAGGCAGCAGUGGGGAAUAUUGCACAAUGGACGAAAGUCUGAUGCAGCAACGCCGCGUGGAGGAUGACACAUUUCGGUGCGUAAACUCCUUUUAUAUAGGAAGAUAAUGACGGUACUAUAUGAAUAAGCACCGGCUAACUCCGUGCCAGCAGCCGCCGUAA